GAUGAACGCUGGCGGCGUGCCUAAUACAUGCAAGUCGAGCGAACAGACGAGGAGCUUGCUCCUCUUACGUUAGCGGCGGACGGGUGAGUAACACGUGGAUAACCUACCUAUAAGACUGGGAUAACUUCGGGAAACCGGAGCUAAUACCGGAUAAUAUAUUGAACCGCAUGGUUCAAUAGUGAAAGACGGUUUUGCUGUCACUUAUAGAUGGAUCCGCGCCGCAUUAGCUAGUUGGUAAGGUAACGGCUUACCAAGGCAACGAUGCGUAGCCGACCUGAGAGGGUGACCGGCCACACUGGAACUGAGACACGGUCCAGAAUCCUAGGGGAGGCAGCAGUAGGGAAUCCUCCGAAAUGGGCGAAAGACUGACGGAGCAAAGCCGCGUGAGUGAUGAAGGUCUACGGACCGUAAAACUCUGUGAUUAGGGAAGAACAAAUGUGUAAGUAACUAUGCACGUCUUGACGGUACCUAAUGAGAAAGCCACGGCUAGAUACGUG
RNAcentral lists this ribosomal RNA (497 nucleotides) under uncultured bacterium. RNAcentral's name for it is "partial 16S ribosomal RNA". It matches the Rfam family "Bacterial small subunit ribosomal RNA", at positions 28 to 507 of the family's 1533-position model. The record is from RNAcentral.